GAUGAAGAACGCAGCGAAAUGCGAUACGUAAUGUGAAUUGCAGAAUUCAGUGAAUCAUCGAGUCUUUGAUCGCACAUUGCGCCCCCUGGUAUUCCGGGGGGCAUGCCUGUCCGAGCGUCAUUGCUGCCCUCAAGCACGGCUUGUGUGUUGGGCCUCCGUCCUCCUCCCGGGGGACGGGCCCGAAAGGCAGCGGCGGCACCGCGUCCGGUCCUCGAGCGUAUGGGGCUUCGUCACCCGCUCUUGUAGGCCCGGCCGGCGCUUGCCGACACAUCAAUCUUUUUUCCAGGUUGACCUCGGAUCAGGUAGGGAUACCCGCUGAACUUAAGCAUAUCAAUAAGCGGAGGA
RNAcentral lists this unclassified non-coding RNA (345 nucleotides) under soil metagenome. RNAcentral describes it as "partial contains 5.8S ribosomal RNA, internal transcribed spacer 2, and large subunit ribosomal RNA". The stretch from base 1 to 120 matches the Rfam family "5.8S ribosomal RNA", at positions 35 to 154 of the family's 154-position model. The record is from RNAcentral.